GAUGAAGAACGUAGCAAAAUGCGAUACUUGGUGUGAAUUGCAGAAUCCCGUGAACCAUCGAGUUUUUGAACGCAAGUUGCGCCCGAAGCCUUUUGGACGAGGGCACGUCUGCCUGGGCGUCACGCAUCGCGUCGCCCCCCACAAUUCUCCGUAAAGGGAACGUGUGUUUUGGGGGCGGAUAUUGGUCUCCCGUGCUCAUGGCGUGGUUGGCCGAAAUAGGAGUCCUUUCGAUGGACGCACGAACUAGUGGUGGUCGUAAAAACCCUCGUCUUUUGUUUCGUGCUGUUGCUCGCAAGGUAAACUCUUUAAAAACCCCAAUGUGUCGUCUCUUGACGACGCUUCGACCGCGACCCCAGGUCAGGCGGGACUACCCGCUGAGUUUAAGCAUAUCAAUAAGCGGAGGA
This 404-nucleotide unclassified non-coding RNA is filed under the name soil metagenome. Its description in RNAcentral is "partial contains 5.8S ribosomal RNA, internal transcribed spacer 2, and large subunit ribosomal RNA". The stretch from base 1 to 122 matches the Rfam family "5.8S ribosomal RNA", at positions 35 to 154 of the family's 154-position model. The record is from RNAcentral.